Molecule: long non-coding RNA, 379 nt
Organism: Clupea harengus (Atlantic herring)
Lineage: Eukaryota; Metazoa; Chordata; Actinopteri; Clupeiformes; Clupeidae
Source: Ensembl
AACAGGAAGCACUGCUCAUGUCAGUUUUCUCAUAACCUAAUUUUGGAGUGCUCAUUUCACUAGAAUCUGACUAGAACCAGAAAUUACACCCCUGUUUGAGGUUGGGUUCUCCAUAUAUACACUCUUGUUUUAGGUUGGGUUCUCCAUAUAUACACUCUUGUUUUAGGUUGGGUUCUCCAUAUAUACUGUAUACACUCUUGUUUUAGGUUGGAUUCAGAUUCCAGAAAUUACACCCCUGUUCAGCCUGCAGCUUGCUGGUGUGUUGGAGUCUCUGGUCUUUGAGUUAAUAGUGUCCUGUUUUCCUGUGUUCAGUGCGUAAAGGCAGUUUAGUCAGUGUAGAUAUUAGUGUGGUGUAGAGAUUCCUGUGUUCAGUGCGUAA